This 253-nucleotide ribosomal RNA is filed under the name uncultured bacterium. RNAcentral's name for it is "partial 16S ribosomal RNA". It matches the Rfam family "Bacterial small subunit ribosomal RNA", at positions 524 to 776 of the family's 1533-position model. The record is from RNAcentral.
AACGUAGGAGACAAACGUUAUCCGGAGUUACUGGGCGUAAAGGGCGUGUAGGCGGUCUGUUAAGUCUGGCGUGAAAGCUCUCGGCUAAACCGGGAGAGGUCGUUGGAUACUGGCAGACUAGAGGACGGUAGAGGCGUGUGGAAUUCCGGGUGUAGUGGUGAAAUGCGUAGAGAUCCGGAGGAACACCAGUGGCGAAGGCGACUACCUGGCCUGUUCUUGACGCUGAGGCGCGAAAGCUAGGGGAGCAAACGGG